This 244-nucleotide ribosomal RNA is filed under the name uncultured bacterium. Its description in RNAcentral is "partial 16S ribosomal RNA". It matches the Rfam family "Bacterial small subunit ribosomal RNA", at positions 119 to 353 of the family's 1533-position model. The record is from RNAcentral.
GGGUAACCUGCCCAUCAGAAGGGGAGUAACACUUGGAAACAAGGUGCUAAUACCGUAUAACAAUCGAAACCGCAUGGUUUCGGAUUUGAAAGGCGCUUUUGCGUCACUGAUGGAUGGACCCGCGGUGCAUUAGCUAGUUGGUGAGGUAACGGCUCACCAAGGCAACGAUGCAUAGCCGACCUGAGAGGGUGAUCGGCCACAUUGGGACUGAGACACGGCCCAAACUCCUACGGGAGGCAGCAUG